Molecule: ribosomal RNA, 120 nt
Filed under: Oncorhynchus kisutch (coho salmon)
Lineage: Eukaryota; Metazoa; Chordata; Actinopteri; Salmoniformes; Salmonidae
Source: RNAcentral
UCUUACGGACCACACGGCCUGAGUUACGCCUAAUCUCGUCUGAUCUCGGAAGCUAAGCAGGGUCAGGACUGGUUAGUACUUGGAUGGGAGACCGCCUGGGAAUACCUGGUGCUGUAAGCU